This 279-nucleotide ribosomal RNA is filed under the name uncultured bacterium. Its description in RNAcentral is "partial 16S ribosomal RNA". It matches the Rfam family "Bacterial small subunit ribosomal RNA", at positions 506 to 784 of the family's 1533-position model. The record is from RNAcentral.
UGCCAGCCGCCGCGGUAAUACGGAGGGUGCGAGCGUUAAUCGGAAUCACUGGGCGUAGAGCGUACGUAGGUGGCAAAGUCAGUCAGGCGUGAAAGCCCUCGGCCCAACCGAGGAACUGCAUUCGAUACUGGCUGACUCGAGGACAGGAGGGGUGAGUGGAACUCCAGGUGGAACGGUGAAAUGUGUAGAUAUCUGGAGGAACACCGGUGGCGAAAGCGGCUCACUGGCCUGUCUCUGACGCUGAGGUGCGAAAGCUAGGGUAGCGAACGGGAUUAGAUA